Molecule: ribosomal RNA, 307 nt
Filed under: uncultured bacterium
Lineage: Bacteria
Description: partial 16S ribosomal RNA
Rfam family: Bacterial small subunit ribosomal RNA
Source: RNAcentral
AGACAGCAGUCGCCACGGGAAUACAGAGGGUGCAAGCGUUAAUCGGAAUUACUGGGCGUAAAGCGCGCGUAGGUGGUUUGUUAAGUUGGAUGUGAAAUCCCCGGGCUCAACCUGGGAACUGCAUCCAAAACUGGCAAGCUAGAGUAUGGUAGAGGGUGGUGGAAUUUCCUGUGUAGCGGUGAAAUGCGUAGAUAUAGGAAGGAACACCAGUGGCGAAGGCGACCACCUGGACUGAUACUGACACUGAGGUGCGAAAGCGUGGGGAGCAAACAGGAUUAGAGACCCCAGUAGUCCCUGUCUCUUAUAC